UACAGGCUUAACACAUGCAAGUCGAGGGGAAACGAUAUUGGAAGCUUGCUUCCGAUAGGCGUCGACCGGCGCACGGGUGAGUAACGCGUAUCCAACCUGCCCAUCACUUGGGGAUAACCUUGCGAAAGUAAGACUAAUACCCAAUGACGUCUCUAGAAGACAUCUGAAAGAGAUUAAAGAUUCAUCGGUGAUGGAUGGGGAUGCGUCUGAUUAGCUUGUUGGCGGGGUAACGGCCCACCAAGGCAACGAUCAGUAGGGGUUCUGAGAGGAAGGUCCCCCACAUUGGAACUGAGACACGGUCCAAACUCCUACGGGAGGCAGCAGUGAGGAAUAUUGGUCAAUGGACGAGAGUCUGAACCAGCCAAGUAGCGUGCAGGAAGACGGCCCUAUGGGUUGUAAACUGCUUUUAUAAGGGAAUAAAGUUAGUCUCGUGAGACUUUUUGCAUGUACCUUAUGAAUAAGGACCGGCUAAUUCCGUGCCAGCAGCCGCGGUAAUACGGAAGGUCCGGGCGUUAUCCGGAUUUAUUGGGUUUAAAGGGAGCGUAGGCCGGAGAUUAAGCGUGUUGUGAAAUGUAGACGCUCAACGUCUGCACUGCAGCGCGAACUGGUUUCCUUGAGUACGCACAAAGUGGGCGGAAUUCGUGGUGUAGCGGUGAAAUGCUUAGAUAUCACGAAGAACUCCGAUUGCGAAGGCAGCUCACUGGAGCGCAACUGACGCUGAAGCUCGAAAGUGCGGGUAUCGAACAGGAUUAGAUACCCUGGUAGUCCGCACGGUAAACGAUGGAUGCCCGCUGUUGGUCUGAAUAGGUCAGCGGCCAAGCGAAAGCAUUAAGCAUCCCACCUGGGGAGUACGCCGGCAACGGUGAAACUCAAAGGAAUUGACGGGGGCCCGCACAAGCGGAGGAACAUGUGGUUUAAUUCGAUGAUACGCGAGGAACCUUACCCGGGCUUGAAUUGCAGAGGAAGGAUUUGGAGACAAUGACGCCCUUCGGGGCCUCUGUGAAGGUGCUGCAUGGUUGUCGUCAGCUCGUGCCGUGAGGUGUCGGCUUAAGUGCCAUAACGAGCGCAACCCCUCUCCUUAGUUGCCAUCAGGUCAAGCUGGGCAUUCUGGGGACACUGCCACCGUAAGGUGUGAGGAAGGUGGGGAUG
RNAcentral lists this ribosomal RNA (1149 nucleotides) under uncultured bacterium. RNAcentral's name for it is "bacterial SSU rRNA". It matches the Rfam family "Bacterial small subunit ribosomal RNA", at positions 41 to 1181 of the family's 1533-position model. The record is from RNAcentral.